Long non-coding RNA from Drosophila navojoa, 332 nucleotides. Lineage: Eukaryota; Metazoa; Arthropoda; Insecta; Diptera; Drosophilidae. The record is from RefSeq and is a predicted model, not a curated record.
UGCAAUAUAUACGAUAUAAAUAUAUCUCAAUAUCAAGCAACAUAAACAAAACCGAGGAAGCAUGCAACAUGUGUCGCGCAACUUUGAACUCUGAAUGAGAUCAGCGGCUAUUUAAGCCAGGCAAACACACCCACACACACACACACACGCUGGCAAACUCAUAAAAUUUUUUAGUGCCGCUCGCGUAGGAAGUCGCACGUAGACAAAGCCCGAACGUUAGAAUGCGCGUGUGUGUAUUCCAGAUACAAUAAGAAGACGAAGAUACAAUACAACUAAUUGAUUGGUGCAAACAUUGUGCAAAACUGAACCGUUAUAAACUGCAGCUAACCAAA